GUAGUCUCGCACAGAUGCAUAUCAAUAAGCGGAGGAAAAGAAACUAACAAGGAUUCCCCUAGUAACGGCGAGUGAAGCGGGAAGAGCUCAAAUUUGAAAUCUUAAAGGGUUUCCCUUUACGAAUUGUAGUUUAAAGAAGUGUUUUCUGUUGAGGUUUUGGUAAAAGUUCUUUGGAAUAGGACAUCAUAGAGGGUGAGAAUCCCGUAUUUGACCUUUACUUUCAACUUUGUGAUACACUUUCAAAGAGUCGGAUUGUUUGGGAAUGCAGUCCAAAAUGGGUGGUAAAUUUCAUCUAAAGCUAAAUAUUGGCGAGAGACCGCUAGCGAACAAGUACCGUGAGGGAAAGAUGAAAAGAACUUUGAAAAGAGAGUUAAACAGUACGUGAAAUUGUCAAAAGGGAAGCGUUUGACACCAGUGUUGUUUUUCUGAAAAUCAAUUAAAGAACUGUUUAUGCUAAGCUGUUUAGACUUUAUCAGCUAUCUGUUUAGUUUUGAGCUUUUCUUUAAUGCACUUUUCAGUUAACAAGUCAACAUCAAUUUCUUUUGCUGUAAAAAAGCUUGAGGAAGGUGGCUUGAGAUUCGUCUUAAGUGUUUAUAGCCUCUUGCCUAUGCAGUCGGAGAGAUUGAGGUCUGCAGCGUAGAUCCUUCGGGGCUAAAUGCAUUUGUGCUAAGUUAUAGCAUUUUAUAGACAACUUGUUGACUAUGAUUUGUCUUGUAGCUUACUCGCUUAUGUUAUUUUACCUACGCUUAGGAUGUUGAUAUCGCGCUCUCACUG
RNAcentral lists this ribosomal RNA (774 nucleotides) under uncultured Neocallimastigales. Its description in RNAcentral is "partial large subunit ribosomal RNA". It matches the Rfam family "Eukaryotic large subunit ribosomal RNA", at positions 24 to 645 of the family's 3401-position model. The record is from RNAcentral. Lineage: Eukaryota; Fungi; Neocallimastigomycota; Neocallimastigomycetes; Neocallimastigales.